GAUGAACGCUGGCGGCGUGCCUAAUACAUGCAAGUAGAACGCUGAAGGAGGAGCUUGCUCUUCUGGAUGAGUUGCGAACGGGUGAGUAACGCGUAGGUAACCUGCCUGGUAGCGGGGGAUAACUAUUGGAAACGAUAGCUAAUACCGCAUGACAACAGUUAUUGCAUGAUAACUGUUUAAAAGGGGCAACUGCUCCACUACCAGAUGGACCUGCGUUGUAUUAGCUAGUUGGUGAGGUAACGGCUCACCAAGGCGACGAUACAUAGCCGACCUGAGAGGGUGAUCGGCCACACUGGGACUGAGACACGGCCCAGACUCCUACGGGAGGCAGCAGUAGGGAAUCUUCGGCAAUGGACGGAAGUCUGAACGGGCAACGCCGCGUGAGUGAAGAAGGAUUUCGGAUCGUAAAGCUCUGUUGUAAGGGAAGAACGAGUGUGAGAGUGGAAAGUUCACACUGUGACGGUAUCUUACCAGAAAGGGACGGCUAACUACGUG
RNAcentral lists this ribosomal RNA (495 nucleotides) under uncultured bacterium. RNAcentral's name for it is "partial 16S ribosomal RNA". It matches the Rfam family "Bacterial small subunit ribosomal RNA", at positions 28 to 507 of the family's 1533-position model. The record is from RNAcentral.